GACGAACGCUGGCGGCGUGCUUAACACAUGCAAGUCGAACGGAAAGGCCUUGCUUUUGUGGGGUGCUCGAGUGGCGAACGGGUGAGUAACACGUGAGUAACCUGCCCUUGACUUUGGGAUAACUUCAGGAAACUGGGGCUAACACCGGAUAGGAGCUCCUGCUGCAUGGUGGGGGUUGGAAAGUUUCGGCGGUUGGGGAUGGACUCGCGGCUUAUCAGCUUGUUGGUGGGGUAGUGGCUUACCAAGGCUUUGACGGGUAGCCGGCCUGAGAGGGUGACCGGCCACAUUGGGACUGAGAUACGGCCCAGACUCCUACGGGAGGCAGCAGUGGGGAAUAUUGCACAAUGGGCGGAAGCCUGAUGCAGCAACGCCGCGUGCGGGAUGACGGCCUUCGGGUUGUAAACCGCUUUCGCCUGUGACGAAGCGUGAGUGACGGUAAUGGGUAAAGGAGCACCGGCUAACUACGUG
This 468-nucleotide ribosomal RNA is filed under the name uncultured bacterium. RNAcentral describes it as "partial 16S ribosomal RNA". It matches the Rfam family "Bacterial small subunit ribosomal RNA", at positions 28 to 507 of the family's 1533-position model. The record is from RNAcentral.